This 250-nucleotide unclassified non-coding RNA is filed under the name Hevea brasiliensis (rubber tree). The record is from RNAcentral. Lineage: Eukaryota; Viridiplantae; Streptophyta; Magnoliopsida; Malpighiales; Euphorbiaceae.
GGAAGUUGAAACUUAACGUUGUCUCCGGCAUCAUAAUAACCUCCCACCAAAUCCACCCCUUGAUCAAGUCCGUCGGUAAGGCCGGAAUGAUGACGCCAAAUAGCUCUUUGAUUGUACGGCAAACGACCGGAGCGUUGAGCUUCGAAAUAAAGGAGGCUUUUCGAUAGCGCAUCGGAAUAAUCUAACGAUUGAAUAAACGGAAUUACAAAUCCAAAUGUAAAAAUAAGUGAAAUCCAUUGAUGAAGAAAAC